UGCGGUGAUAUUGUCGGGAGGGUCCACCUGUUCCCAUACCGAACACAGAAGUUAAGCCUCCAUGGAGCCGAUGGUACUUGUCGGGUGACUGACCGGGAGAGUAGGAAGUUGCC
RNAcentral lists this ribosomal RNA (113 nucleotides) under Clostridia bacterium. Lineage: Bacteria; Bacillati; Bacillota; Clostridia. The record is from RNAcentral.